This 780-nucleotide ribosomal RNA is filed under the name uncultured Neocallimastigales. RNAcentral's name for it is "partial large subunit ribosomal RNA". It matches the Rfam family "Eukaryotic large subunit ribosomal RNA", at positions 22 to 644 of the family's 3401-position model. Lineage: Eukaryota; Fungi; Neocallimastigomycota; Neocallimastigomycetes; Neocallimastigales. The record is from RNAcentral.
UAGAUGCGAGAGUAGAGCAUAUCAAUAAGCGGAGGAAAAGGAACUAACAAGGAUUCCCUUAGUAACGGCGAGUGAAGCGGGAAGAGCUCAAAUUUGAAAUCUUCAAGGUUUUACCUUGACGAAUUGUAGUUUAAAGAAGUGUUUUCUGUUGAAGUUUUGGUAAAAGUUCUUUGGAAUAGGACAUCAUAGAGGGUGAGAAUCCCGUAUUUGGUCAUUCCUCCUAGCGUUGUGAUACACUUUCAACGAGUCGGAUUGUUUGGGAAUGCAGUCCAAAAUGGGUGGUAAAUUUCAUCUAAAGCUAAAUAUUGGCGAGAGACCGAUAGCGAACAAGUACCGUGAGGGAAAGAUGAAAAGAACUUUGAAAAGAGAGUUAAACAGUACGUGAAAUUGUCAAAAGGGAAGCGUUUGACACCAGUGUUGUUUUUCCGAAAAUCAAUUACAAAUGAUUUAUUUUGAGAGUGUAUGACUUCAUCGGCUUUCUGCCUUCGUUUAUGGAAUCUUUCUUGAUGCACUUUUCGGUUAACAAGUCAACAUCAAUUUCUUUUGUUGUAAAAGGGUAUGAGGAAGGUGGCUUUCAUUUCGGGUAAAGUGUUUAUAGCCUUGUACCUCUGCAGUCGGAGAGAUUGAGGUCUGCAGCGUAGAUCCUUCGGGGUUAGAUACAGUUUGUGCUAAGUUAUAGCUUUGUCAUAGACAACAUUGUUGACUAUGUUUAGUCUUGUAGCUUACUCGCAUGAUAGCUAUUUUACCUACGCUUAGGAUGUUGAUAGUCACAGCGUGUAC